UUUCCGUAGGUGAACCUGCGGAAGGAUCAUUACUGUCGCAAAGUCCAUUCACUCCGUCGGCGAGCGAGUGGUGCUCGAAUGAUGUUUUAACCCUCUCCGCGGAGGCGGACGGGAGAGGCAUCUGUGCCCAGUAUCGUAUGUAUUCCAUUCGUAUUGCGAUCUGACUUCGGCUGUGAAGUUAGGCGCGCGUCGCCGGUGCGUCCGGUUUGACAUGCUUUUCCAUUUAACUCGUGCUAUGGAGAAAAAAAAAACGCAUCAGGACUCAAUAUGGGGGAUCACUUAGUCCUUAAAUCGAUGAAAAACAUUGUAAUUUGUGGAAAUUGAUGUGAGUUGUGAAAUUUUGUGAGCAUUGUGUUUUUGAAUGAAAAUUUCAGCAUGGAUGCCUUGUGUCUAUGCUACACUUGUUUCAGUAUAUAACUCGUAGUAUAUGUACUUACUAUUGCCGCUACGCAAUGGUAUAAAAUCUCCACGGUCACGAGAGUGAUGCUGCCUGCUCAACUUGACGUGUAUCUGAAAUCAAGUGUGACGACCCGCUGAACUUAAGCAUAUC
RNAcentral lists this ribosomal RNA (550 nucleotides) under Tropilaelaps mercedesae. RNAcentral's name for it is "eukaryotic LSU rRNA". The stretch from base 260 to 415 matches the Rfam family "5.8S ribosomal RNA". The record is from RNAcentral. Lineage: Eukaryota; Metazoa; Arthropoda; Arachnida; Mesostigmata; Laelapidae.